Molecule: ribosomal RNA, 446 nt
Filed under: uncultured bacterium
Lineage: Bacteria
Description: bacterial SSU rRNA
Rfam family: Bacterial small subunit ribosomal RNA
Source: RNAcentral
AGCCAGACUCCUACGGGAGGCAGCAGUGGGGAAUAUUGCACAAUGGGGGAAACCCUGAUGCAGUGACGCCGCGUGAGCGAUGAAGUAUUUCGGUAUGUAAAGCUCUAUCAGCAGGGAAGAAGAUGACGGUACCUGACUAAGAAGCCCCGGCUAACUACGUGCCAGCAGCCGCGGUAAUACGUAGGGGGCAAGCGUUAUCCGGAUUUACUGGGUGUAAAGGGAGCGUAGACGGCGAUGCAAGCCAGAUGUGAAAGCCCGGGGCUCAACCCCGGGACUGCAUUUGGAACUGUGUGGCUGGAGUGUCGGAGAGGCAGGCGGAAUUCCUAGUGUAGCGGUGAAAUGCGUAGAUAUUAGGAGGAACACCAGUGGCGAAGGCGGCCUGCUGGACGAUGACUGACGUUGAGGCUCGAAAGCGUGGGGAGCAAACAGGAUUAGAUACCCGAGUA